CAACUUGAGAGUUUGAUCCUGGCUCAGAACGAACGCUGGCGGCAGGCCUAACACAUGCAAGUCGAACGGGAUCUUCGGAUCUAGUGGCGGACGGGUGAGUAACGCGUGGGAACGUGCCCUUUGGUUCGGAAUAGCCCUGGGAAACUGGGAGUAAUACCGGAUGAGCCCUUCGGGGGAAAGAUUUAUCGCCAAAGGAUCGGCCCGCGUUGGAUUAGGUAGUUGGUGGGGUAAUGGCCUACCAAGCCGACGAUCCAUAGCUGGUUUGAGAGGAUGAUCAGCCACACUGGGACUGAGACACGGCCCAGACUCCUACGGGAGGCAGCAGUGGGGAAUCUUAGACAAUGGGGGAAACCCUGAUCUAGCCAUGCCGCGUGAGUGACGAAGGCCUUAGGGUCGUAAAGCUCUUUCGCUGGGGAAGAUAAUGACGGUACCCAGUAAAGAAACCCCGGCUAACUCCGUGCCAGCAGCCGCGGUAAUACGGAGGGGGUUAGCGUUGUUCGGAAUUACUGGGCGUAAAGCGCACGUAGGCGGGCUGUUAAGUCGGGGGUGAAAUCCCGGGGCUCAACCCCGGAACUGCCCUCGAUACUGGCAGCCUUGAGUUCGAGAGAGGUGAGUGGAAUUCCGAGUGUAGAGGUGAAAUUCGUAGAUAUUCGGAGGAACACCAGUGGCGAAGGCGGCUCACUGGCUCGAUACUGACGCUGAGGUGCGAAAG
RNAcentral lists this ribosomal RNA (712 nucleotides) under Deltaproteobacteria bacterium. Its description in RNAcentral is "bacterial SSU rRNA". It matches the Rfam family "Bacterial small subunit ribosomal RNA", at positions 1 to 759 of the family's 1533-position model. Lineage: Bacteria; Pseudomonadati; Myxococcota; Myxococcia. The record is from RNAcentral.